UACAGAGGUCUCAAGCGUUGUUCGGAUUCAUUGGGCGUAAAGGGUGCGUAGGCGGCGCGGUAAGUCGGGUGUGAAAUCUCGGAGCUUAACGCCGAAACUGCAUUCGAUACUGCCGUGCUUGAGGACUGGAGAGGAGACUGGAAUUUACGGUGUAGCGGUGAAAUGCGUAGAUAUCGUAAGGAAGACCAGUGGCGAAGGCGGGUCUCUGGACAGUUCCUGACGCUGAGGCACGAAGGCCAGGGAAGCAAACGGG
RNAcentral lists this ribosomal RNA (253 nucleotides) under uncultured bacterium. RNAcentral describes it as "partial 16S ribosomal RNA". It matches the Rfam family "Bacterial small subunit ribosomal RNA", at positions 524 to 776 of the family's 1533-position model. The record is from RNAcentral.